UAUGCUCUGUUGGUAGUAUUUAGCUUUGUUAGUUGUUUUUACCUAUUUUUCACCCUAGUUAGAGGUUUGUGAGCAUUUGGAUUAGUGUAGGAUGAUUUUACGCUCGUGCUGAAGGGCCGAGUGAAUUUUUACAAUAGUUAUUAAACCGAGUUGUAUAGUAAGAUGUAUUAGAUUUUAUUGGGUUUGUUAUGAUUUAAAACUUGUUAAGGCUUCUUGAGAGCCCAAUAAUUGUUAAUGGGCCGCUUGGGAGUCCAACUAAAAUUUUUAUGUGUGAUGUUUAGUCCCACAUUGGAAAUCAAAAGGGUGUUUGUGAUUUUUAUAUAUUCCUUUGUUCUCAAGCUAAUUACUUGGAAGAAAGUGAGAGUAAUGCUCUCGUUUAAAUACACGCACGCACGGCACGAGCACGAGCCGUGCGGCUAGUAGCGCGCGUGGUUUAUACACCCGGUUAUUUUAUUUUAUUUUAUUUUUUCGGUUUUAUCUUUAUUUUAAUCCUUAUCUUUAUCCUUAUCCUAAUCUUGAUCAUUAUCUGUACACCCGGUUAUUUUAUUUUAUUUUUUCGAUUUUAUCUUUUUAAUUCUUAUCUUUAUCCUUAUCUUAAUCCUGAUCAUUAUCCGUAUAAUCUUAGGCUUAUCUUGUUCUACACGGAUUUGACGCGUUGAAGCAAGAUUCUCGCCUAGGUUAUAAAUAUGGGGCGAAGUUGCACUAGUUAAUUAAUAACCCGAGCAUACCUAAAGCCUUUCGUCUUUUUCUGCUUUCUGGAUUUUCGCCGAGUUUUCUUUUACUGGAUUUGAAGCUUGUUGGGUUCGUCAUGCGCCACCUUGAAAGCAUGCCGAUGGGGUGGAACGUGGUCGUUGUAUCGUUAGGAGUAAUUGCUAGGAAGCCUCGCACGUGGAGGGGCAAUUUCGCUUCUAGGACAGUGCUCUGCACGCUUCGAUCCACAGGCCUUAUCUAAAUCUUUUUCUUUAUAGUAUUUGUUAUUUAAUUUCUUUUUCGGAAUAUUUCGAAACUUGUAAUUAAAUUUCCAAAUUGGUUUUUAAAGAAUAUUGUAAUAAAAUAUCAUAAAGAUUUUCCAACAAGAUGCUGUCAGAGUUGAUGGUGAUCCAGAAUCCUUGAGUUUUGCAUCAGAUUGUGCUUGGGACACAUGCGUUACAGUUUUAUGAUAUG
RNAcentral lists this long non-coding RNA (1164 nucleotides) under Ananas comosus (pineapple). RNAcentral describes it as "long non-coding RNA (ACOM_LNC031404)". Lineage: Eukaryota; Viridiplantae; Streptophyta; Magnoliopsida; Poales; Bromeliaceae. The record is from RNAcentral.